This 274-nucleotide ribosomal RNA is filed under the name uncultured bacterium. Its description in RNAcentral is "partial 16S ribosomal RNA". It matches the Rfam family "Bacterial small subunit ribosomal RNA", at positions 29 to 292 of the family's 1533-position model. The record is from RNAcentral.
AACGAACGCUGGCGGCGCGCCUAAUACAUGCAAGUCGAGCGAGAAGACGUAGCAAUACGUUUGUAAAGCGGCGAACGGGUGAGGAAUACAUGGGGUAACCUACCCUCGAGUGGGGAAGUAACUAGCCGAAAGGUUAGCUAAUACCGCGUACGCUCCUUGGACUUCGGUUCAGGGAGGAAAGCGAUACCGUGGGUAUCGCGCUCUUGGAUGGGCUCAUGUCCUAUCAGCUUGUUGGGAGGUAACGGCUCACCAAGGCUUCGACGGGUAGCUGGUC